Molecule: long non-coding RNA, 852 nt
Organism: Sorghum bicolor (sorghum)
Lineage: Eukaryota; Viridiplantae; Streptophyta; Magnoliopsida; Poales; Poaceae
Exons: 5
Source: RefSeq, a predicted model, not a curated record
CCGCAGUCAAGGUUCACGCCGAACAGCCGGAGCUGCCGUGACGACGGUGCUGAAGCUGCACUGCAACUCCUGUUGUCUCUGUCCGAUUGAGAUUCUCCUGCAAUUGUUCAGCAGAAAUCGUGUAAGAGGACCAGAGAAUUGGGGAUAUGCGAUUAUUAUCUCACGUGGCAUUAACCUUAUCCGUCCUGCUUUCUGUUCCUGGGGCUUCAAGUUCCCAAGCGCCACAAUAUUCGAACAUUGGAAUGGGAAAUAGGAUCAAGAUUGGACCUGGACAAAGAUCUGCCCUGUCCAAUUUCCAAAAGCUUUUCGAGUCAGAUGAUGCAAUGCAAAAGACUAGUAUACUCGAUGGCAUGGCAAUGGCAUAGGAUGGAUGCAUUGCAUCAGUGUAAGCUGCACGAGCGUGAUAAAAAAAGCGUUUAUAUAUACACGCCGGUCCUGUUGUGGUUCCUGCAUGGCAUUGGCACCAAUAAUGGCGGGCAUCAUGUGGCUAUCAUGGCGAAGUGCUCGCUCACUCACAUCACAUGCCCUAGAAAACCUCUGAACCACCCCAGUGAAUUCUGCUCUGGCUCUUACAAGUUAUAUUGGGGAAAAAAAAAAGGAGAACAGAAGGCGACGCCGGCGAGGCUAAAGGCUGCAUAAAGCUUUUUCCUUUUGGUACCACGUUGAAGACGUACUACUGCAAGUGCGUGUGUGCACAUUCGACUUGCAAUGCUCUCUGAUCUCUUGGAGGUACGAGUACUAGGGUUUACCUAAAACCAAAAACUUUUCAAGAUUCCUCGUCACAUCAAAUCUUGAAGCAUAUACAUGAAGCAUUAGAUAUAGACGAAAAUAAAACUAGUAGAUGAAUCUUUU